CCCUUAGAUGUUCGGGGCCGCACGCGCGCUACACUGAUACGUUCAACGAGUCCAAAACCUUGAUUGAUAGGUCUGGGUAAUCUUUUGAAUACGUAUCGUGCUAGGGAUAGAUUAUUGCAAUUAUUAAUCUUGAACGAGGAGUUCCUAGUAAACGCAAGUCAUCAGCUUGCAUUGAUUAUGUCCCUGCCCUUUGUACACACCGCCCGUCGCAGCUACCGAUUGAAUGACUCGGUGAAAAAUUGGGACUGUGAUUGAAAUUGCUUCAUUGCGAAUUUAAUCAUGGAAACUUUCUUUAACCUAGGCAUUUAGAGGAAGGUGAAGUCGUAACA
RNAcentral lists this ribosomal RNA (329 nucleotides) under uncultured eukaryote. RNAcentral's name for it is "partial 18S ribosomal RNA". It matches the Rfam family "Eukaryotic small subunit ribosomal RNA", at positions 1470 to 1796 of the family's 1831-position model. The record is from RNAcentral.